AGCAAGACGCAGAUAAGGAUUAGUAAAUAGAUUGUAUUUCUAUAGAGAGCUAACGGUUGGUGAAAGUUAGUGGAAUGCCCUAUUGAACUCGCCUUUGAGUCUGUAUGAGUGAACUGUCAGUAGCUUAUACCGUUUUCCGCGUUAAGGAAUCAAGUUGAGUGAUGUUUUUCACUAAUUUGGGUGGUACCGCGUGAGGUUAAUCUCUCGUCCCUUAG
This 215-nucleotide non-coding RNA is filed under the name Psychrobacillus sp. RNAcentral describes it as "T-box sequence". It matches the Rfam family "T-box leader". Rfam says of the family: Uncharged tRNA acts as the effector for transcription antitermination of genes in the T-box leader family. T-boxes are found upstream of many aminoacyl-tRNA synthetase genes and some amino acid biosynthetic genes usually in Gram-positive bacteria. Lineage: Bacteria; Bacillati; Bacillota; Bacilli; Caryophanales; Bacillaceae. The record is from RNAcentral.